Molecule: long non-coding RNA, 499 nt
Organism: Cynara cardunculus var. scolymus (artichoke)
Lineage: Eukaryota; Viridiplantae; Streptophyta; Magnoliopsida; Asterales; Asteraceae
Exons: 3
Source: RefSeq, a predicted model, not a curated record
UAGAAAGUGAGGCAAGAGAAAAUCAAAAACUUCCCCUGCAGUUAAUGGAUCAACCAGCACCAGCUUUAGAAGCCCCCAGAGGGAGUUGAGUACAGAUGAAACAACCUGCUGGUAGAGACAUCGUUGUAAUAGACCACUGAGUUCUUUGAAAAGAUCACUGCCCAUUCCAUGUGGUAUUGCAGCUAGGCGAAUGUGAUCAUCUCGUCUAAACAUAGCUUUGCGCACCACCAAGAUGAUGUAAUCCUGCAGUGUUUAGAGAAAUAGAGGCGUAGAUAUUCUUAAAGAGUAAAGCAUACAGGGGUUGUAUAAAUCCGCCUGAUUUUAAUUUAAUCUAAAUUGUUAUCCUGUGAUCUAACACGGUCCCUGGGAUAAUAAAUGUCAUGCACAUGCUUUUACUUGAUUGAAUAAAUGAUGGAAAGAAUGCAAACCUGAAGGUUAUGACUGAACUUGAUGAGUGGUAAUAGAACAUUAAUUAGGUGGGAAGCAACCUUGUUGUGCA